AGCCAGACUCCUACGGGAGGCAGCAGUGGGGAAUAUUGCACAAUGGGGGAAACCCUGAUGCAGCGACGCCGCGUGAGUGAAGAAGUAUUUCGGUAUGUAAAGCUCUAUCAGCAGGGAAGAAAAUGACGGUACCUGAUUAAGAAGCCCCGGCUAACUACGUGCCAGCAGCCGCGGUAAUACGUAUGGGGCAAGCGUUAUCCGGAUUUACUGGGUGUAAAGGGAGCGCAGGCGGCCUGCCAAGUCUGGUGUGAAAACCCGGGGCCCAACCCCGGGCCUGCAUUGGAAACUGGCGGGCUGGAGUGUCGGAGGGGCAGGCGGAAUUCCUAGUGUAGCGGUGAAAUGCGUAGAUAUUAGGAGGAACACCGGUGGCGAAGGCGGCCUGCUGGACGAUGACUGACGCUGAGGCUCGAAAGCGUGGGGAGCAAACAGGAUUAGAUACCCGGGUAC
RNAcentral lists this ribosomal RNA (447 nucleotides) under uncultured bacterium. Its description in RNAcentral is "bacterial SSU rRNA". It matches the Rfam family "Bacterial small subunit ribosomal RNA", at positions 329 to 793 of the family's 1533-position model. The record is from RNAcentral.